GAUUUUUACAACAGCUUCACACUGUUGGAUUGCUGGUGCAGCAUGAAGGACUCCUUAGUACAUACAGUGAAGAAGCAGGGAUGCUCGAAGACAUGGCUGUGGGCAUUUCAGAUUUGCAGAAAGUAAUGUUUAGAGUAAUUGAAGCCAAGUCAGAAGAUUUUUUGCCUAUUAUAAGUGGAAGGCGUGAACAUUACAUUAUAGAGGUCCAGCUCCCAGCAAAGAUGUUUGAGCUGCUGCCACAAGAGAUUAAAGAGGG
Molecule: long non-coding RNA, 256 nt
Organism: Melozone crissalis (California towhee)
Lineage: Eukaryota; Metazoa; Chordata; Aves; Passeriformes; Passerellidae
Exons: 3
Source: RefSeq, a predicted model, not a curated record